UAAAUGAACUUAAAUUCAACUUAAAAUAUUUCUUAACAAACAAAGUAAAAAAUAAUAUUCUAAAGUUAAUUAAUAGAGGUUCAGCUCUAUUAAUAAAGGAUACAACCUAAAACAAUGAAUAAUGAUUAUAUUAAUAAAAGAAAUUAACUAUGUGGGCCUAAAAGCAGCAACCAAAAUAAAAGCGUUAAAGCUUAAUUUAAUAAAUCUUAUUAUAACAAUAAAAUAAUCUUAAUUCAUUAAAACUAUUAAGUCAAUCUAUUUAAAUAGAUGUGAUUAUACUAGAAUGAGUAAUAAGAAUAUAUUCUCUAAGUGCAAGUAUAAAUCAGAACGAAUAUUUCACUGAUAAAUAACGAACCUUUUGAGGGAAAAAUAGUAUUUACAAGAAAAAUCUAUUUGGCCCAUCGUUAACCCAACACAGGAGCACAUUAGAAAGAUUAAAAAUAUAGGAAGGAACUCGGCAAACACGAACUUCGCCUGUUUACCAAAAACAUCGCCUCUUGCAAUUAAAGUAUAAGAGGUCCUGCCUGCCCAGUGACACCAAGUUUAACGGCCGCGGUAUUAUGACCGUGCAAAGGUAGCGUAAUCACUUGUCUUUUAAAUAAAGACCAGUAUGAAUGGCAAGACGAAAGUUCAACUGUCUCCCUAAAUUAAUCAAUGAAAUUAAUCUUUCCGUGCAGAAGCGGAAAUAUAACUAUAAGACGAGAAGACCCUAUGGAGCUUUAAACAUAUAAUCAAUUGUAAAACAUAAAAUCCGAAAGAUUAAAUAUAAAAUAAAACAAUAUGAUUAAAAUUUUAGGUUGGGGCGACCACGGAGAAAAACAAAACCUCCGAGAUGAAGAGAAUAUCUUAAUUUAAGAACUACAGUUCUAAAAAAUAAAAUAUUUAACAUAAUUGAUCCAAUAUAUUGAUCAACGAACCAAGUUACCCUAGGGAUAACAGCGCAAUCCUCUCCAAGAGUCCCUAUCGACGAGUGGGUUUACGACCUCGAUGUUGGAUCAGGACACCCCAAUGGUGCAGCCGCUAUUARAGGUUCGUUUGUUCAACGAUUAAAGU
Molecule: ribosomal RNA, 1053 nt
Filed under: Hynobius tsurugiensis (Tsurugi salamander)
Lineage: Eukaryota; Metazoa; Chordata; Amphibia; Caudata; Hynobiidae
Description: partial 16S ribosomal RNA
Rfam family: Bacterial large subunit ribosomal RNA
Source: RNAcentral